AGAACGCGGCUCCCGCGACCCCUGGCGGCGGCUGCCGAGGGGCUGCGGGACGACCUUGGGCGGCAGCUAGCAGCGAGUCCUAGCUGAUGUGGCCCUGAGUCAGCUUUUAGAGGUCCCAAGACUCGUUCACAGGCCGCUAAACGCAAACUAAGGCACCUCCCAGCACACCAGGAUCGACGUGUCCUCCUUCAGUCCGGACUCGGCGGAAUCUGCACCUGGGAGCCCCUCCCCAAAUGACCUGCUAGCCGCAGUCCAGGAAGCAGGCACCCCUCACUCCCCUUCUCAAAUGGGGGCUCUAUUCCUGUCUCUAGCUCUGGAGUUGUUGUGAGGAUAAAGGGAGAACCUGGCACACAGUAGGCACUCAACAAACCGUUCCUCUGUCUGUCUUGAGAGACUGCGGUGGGCCCUGCAGGGCAGCUGCCUGCCUCUGCCUGGUUCGAGGAAGGCCCAGCCAGGCCGGCCCCAGCUUCCUUCCUGCUCUUCUGUCCCACUCCGACCCACUCCGGAGAGCCACGCUCUGAGCCGCACAUGACUCUCUCCUUCUCCACAGAACAAUCUGUGUUCUGCUCCCGCCCCCGAGAGAGUUCUGAGCUUUCCAAAUAUGGAUGCUUUUUGCAUUCCCAAAGCAUCACGAACAUUUGGGAGAAGAAAAUGAACACCAGACAUGGUUUGGAAACGAUGGAAGCCAAGGGAUGGGUGGUGACGGAACAAGCACCGUACUAGGAGUUUUAAAAUAUAAAACACGAGUCUGGCCUAGGUGAUGUCUUACAACCUUACUAGCUUUGUAGCAGUCUAGGCCCCAAAGAGAUCCUAGAAGUAAGCACCCAAACCCUAAGAAUAAAAACUACAGCGGCCACCACCACACA
Long non-coding RNA from Homo sapiens (human), 866 nucleotides. RefSeq lists it as uncharacterized. The record is from RefSeq and is a predicted model, not a curated record. The transcript has 2 exons. NCBI's taxonomy places the organism in Eukaryota, Metazoa, Chordata, Mammalia, Primates, Hominidae.